RNAcentral lists this unclassified non-coding RNA (153 nucleotides) under uncultured Ascomycota. Its description in RNAcentral is "sequence contains ITS2". The record is from RNAcentral. Lineage: Eukaryota; Fungi; Ascomycota.
AAACCCUCAAGCCCCAUGGCUUGGUGUUGGGUGUAUGUCCCUGCUCCUCGCGCGGACUCGCCCCAAAUGCAUUGGCAGCGGCCUCCACGCUUCUCGCGCAGCACAUUGCGCAGCGGAGCACGGCUAGGCGCGCGUCCAGCAAGCAACCCCCAA